UAUUGUGAGUAUUUUUUGUUUUUGAUGUUUUCUGCCACACUCAAUAAUUUUUCAGUUAUAUAGUGGCGCCCAGUUUUUAUUGGUGGAAGAGAGAACCCAGUUACAAUGUACCUGGGAAGAUAACCACCGACCUUCCGAAAGUAAACUGGGACACUUUCUCACUUACCGGCGCGAGCGGGAUUCGAACCCGCGCCGACAGAGACAAAUCAUAAUACGUUACAUUGUUGACAACUAGACCCUAGGCCAAGCUACUGUCACGGGUGCAUUUCGAAAAGAAAGAAAAAAGAAGAAAAAACCACACAAAUCAAUAAAAAUAAUCAAAUUUAAAGUGGAAAUCACAAUAUUUUAUUUUGAUAAAGCAAUCAUAUUAUUAAUUUUACAAAUUGUGAUCUGUACAUCGUUAGGAAGUGGGAGCAAGGCGUUAUACUGACGCACUCAAGAUGUUACGAGUUAAUGUGGAAAUAAUUUUAUAAUUCCAUUUAAAGUUAAGAAAUACAAUAUUCUAUUAUUUAUAUGAUUAAAAGUUCAAUUAUUUUGUAUCUUUAAAAUCUUUGUAAAUCUACCAGUUGGUAGAAACUGGAAGCACAAGUUAUAUAAACGGUAUGUUGUUACAAGGUGAAGGUUAGUUGAUCCGAGUGUGUAUUGAAUUUGAAGACCAGAACAGAAUUAUGUAGUGCUUAGCUUCGAUAUAUCCAUUUUCUCGCAGUUUAUCUGGGUUUCUGUCCAAGUGGUUUUUGAAAAGGUGACUGGGUGGUUUAUUUUAAAGGUAAAUUUCUUGCUCUAACAAAAACAUAUCCACGUCUUUUUUCUCGUACCUUCCUUCGAAAAAUUGAAAAAUACUCAGUCUAAAUCCUUUCUACCGACAACUAGUACACCCGAAUACGGCACAAAACAUCUUAAUGCAAUAUUAUUUACAAACUGUUAACGUGAUAAUUGUUUUUUUGUUUUUUUUGUCGAUUAAAUCUAAUUUGUUUAUGAAAUGACUUAUAGAUGUUUUCAAACCCGAGGGCACAUAUGACGUCACACAUAAUGGCACGUAAAAUAGCGAAAGUAAAUAUGCAUACCACGAUAUCGCAAGAUUUGAAUUCCAUCGCUUUCAAACUCGAAAACUACGCAACAUAUUUCAUUUAAAACACAUUUAAAGUGGUUUUAGGCAUGGAAAGAAUUUUGCUGAAAAAAGAAAAACGUUUAAAAACAUGCGUUGUGUCCUUUAAGAUAAAGGCAAACACAGACCCCUGGAUAUAACAGAUGUUGGAUUGGGUGCCUAGGAGGAGUAAGCAUCCCUAUGUUGACUGGUCAAACCUGCCUUGAGCCCUAUUAAUUGAUCACGUAAACGGAGUAAUUCUUAGUCAAAAUUAGUAUGUAAAAAUAUGGAUAUGAUGUUUAUGGAUCUGAAUUGAUUCUAUCCGAAAGCAUAUGCUGCGUAUGAUCAUUUGUUAAAUGGAGGUAGGCUACUGAAAAAUACGAUAAUGACAAAAACGUUGAUGUUACAGUCGCGUUUCAAGUCAAUAUUUUGCAUAUUCUAUGGCAGUUAUAAAUUAUUAUGAUUUAGUUUCAAAUUAAAAUCCAUCAAUAUUGUCUGGCGUGUUUCAUAGAAAUAAUUAUGCCGUUCUUUUAUGCUGAGUUUGACUACCGAGUACUCCGUUUACCUGAUCAAAACAGUAGUCUUACGGCGGGUGAAACUGGUUAACAGGGGAUGCUUACUCCUAGCAUCUGAUAAAUCUAUAGUGUUUCUGUCGUCCGUGUUUUCCCUACUCUGGAUUUGUGUUUUUUAUAACAUUUAUGAGAAUGGUUACGGUUUAUCAAAUUCUACAUAUUUGUAGUAUGAUAUGGCAUAGAAUGACUUAUAUAUGCUUAAAAACAAGAACAAGACCAUUAGUUAUGCUACCAUACUUAAAUUAUUUUGAAAUUUGGGUUAAACAUCUUCAAUAUUUGGGUCAUUGGUGUUAUUGAUAUCAAGGAAUAAGACAACACUCGGCAAUGGACUGCGAUGAUGGAAAUGAAUUGUGCAAAAAUCUCUUUUACGUCUUUCCUUAUGCAUUUAUGUGUUCUAAUAACAUUCAUUAAUAUAAGAUUCACUCUCUAACUUUCAUCCACUCCUAGAAUUAUUUAUUGAUUUCCUGAUAUAUACGGAGAUCAAAUUUAUCC
Molecule: long non-coding RNA, 2148 nt
Organism: Ostrea edulis (European flat oyster)
Lineage: Eukaryota; Metazoa; Mollusca; Bivalvia; Ostreida; Ostreidae
Exons: 2
Source: RefSeq, a predicted model, not a curated record